AGAGGCAGGGGAAAACCACGCAGAAGCAGGAGCUGAAGACCUCAGACCGGCACCAGGGACAGCUUAAUGAAGACAAACUGAAGGGGAAACUGAGAUCCUUAGAAAACCAGCUGUACACCUGUACCCAGAAAUACUCCCCUUGGGGAAUGAAAAAAGUACUACUGGAGAUGGAAGACCAGAAAAACAGCUAUGAGCAGAAGGCCAAGGAGUCACUGCAGAAAGUGCUGGAGGAGAAAAUGAAUGCAGAGCAGCAACUACAGAGCACACAGGUAUGGGGAUGCCACAUAGACAUGGGGCUGAGGACUCCAGACAGCUUGGGGAACAAGGAAGCCAGCUGCACAACUCCCUGGAACUCUCUCCUCUCUGAUCUCCACCAGCGAUCCCUGGCCCUGGCAGAGCAGAAGUGUGAAGAGUGGAGGAGCCAGUAUGAGGCUCUGAAGGAGGACUGGAGGACCCUUGGGACCCAGCACAGGGAGCUGGAGAGCCAACUCCACGUGCUUCAGUCCAAACUGCAGGGAGCAGAUAGCAGGGACUUACAGAUGAACCAGGCCCUGCGAUUUUUGGAAAAUGAGCACCAGGAACUGC
This 585-nucleotide small RNA is filed under the name Pongo abelii (Sumatran orangutan). Its description in RNAcentral is "retained intron". The record is from RNAcentral. Lineage: Eukaryota; Metazoa; Chordata; Mammalia; Primates; Hominidae.